GAAACACUGACCAAGGAGUUCAAAUGGCACGCGAGUCAUUGGGUCUNAACACCCGAAGGCGAAGUGAAAUGCAAAGGUAUUGUUAUUUGUGGUUGUACCAUGAUUAAGCGAUNAGCUACUUAUGCUUUCUGGCAUUUGUAGACUACAAGCGUGAUGUUUGAGACCCGAAAGAUGGUGACCUAUGCCUAGUCAAGAUGAAGCCAGAGGAAACUCUGGUGGAUGUCUGAAGUUAUUCUGACGUGCAAAUCGAUAAUCUGAUCUGGGUAUAGGGGCGAAAGACUAAUCGAACCAUCUAGUAGCUGGUUCCUUCCGAAGUUUCCCUCAGGAUAGCUAGCGUACACGUUUAGUUUCAUCCCGUAAAGCGAAUGAUUAGAGGUAUUGGGGCGUAUAUAGCCUCAACCUAUUCUCAAACUUUUAAUGGGUGUGAGUGUUCUUUCUCGAUUGAAGAACACUGCUAAAUAAGUAUGCUUAGUGGGCCAUUUUUGGUAAGCAGAACUGGCGCUGUGGGUUGAACCAAUUGUUGGGUUAAAGUGCCUAAAGCUGGAAUGCGCAUGAGAUCUAUAAAGGGUGUUAGUUGCUGAAGACAGCAGGACGGUGGCCAUGGAAGUCGA
Molecule: ribosomal RNA, 611 nt
Filed under: Varroa destructor (honeybee mite)
Lineage: Eukaryota; Metazoa; Arthropoda; Arachnida; Mesostigmata; Varroidae
Description: eukaryotic LSU rRNA
Rfam family: Eukaryotic large subunit ribosomal RNA
Source: RNAcentral